This is a non-coding RNA of Salmo salar (Atlantic salmon), 54 nucleotides long. NCBI's taxonomy places the organism in Eukaryota, Metazoa, Chordata, Actinopteri, Salmoniformes, Salmonidae. The record is from Rfam.
CAAAAUCAGCAGGGUAAGUCGCUCUGGAUAAGAGCGUCUGCUAAAUGACGUAAA